RNAcentral lists this unclassified non-coding RNA (165 nucleotides) under uncultured Sordariomycetes. RNAcentral's name for it is "sequence contains ITS1". Lineage: Eukaryota; Fungi; Ascomycota; Sordariomycetes. The record is from RNAcentral.
AAGAGUUGCAAGACUCCCAAAACCCUAUGUGAACCGUACCACAGUUCGUUGCUUCGGCAGGCGGCCCCAGGGCGGGGCCUGCCGCCCGGGUCUCCCGGGUGCCUGCCGGGGGGAUACAAAACUCUGUAAUUUUUAGCCGUCUGAGCCACCAAAACAAAUAAAUUA